This 494-nucleotide ribosomal RNA is filed under the name uncultured bacterium. RNAcentral describes it as "partial 16S ribosomal RNA". It matches the Rfam family "Bacterial small subunit ribosomal RNA", at positions 28 to 507 of the family's 1533-position model. The record is from RNAcentral.
GACGAACGCUGGCGGCGUGCUUAACACAUGCAAGUCGAACGGAAAGGCCUGCUUUCCCUUGUGGAUUGCGGGUACUCGAGUGGCGAACGGGUGAGUAACACGUGAGUGAUCUGCCCCCAACUUGGGUAUAAGCCUGGGAAACUGGGUCUAAUUCCCGAUAGGACUGCAGGGUGGUGCCUGUGGUGGAAAACGAUUUUCUAGUGGUUGGGGAUGAGCUUGCGGCCUAUCAGCUUGUUGGUAGGGUAAUGGCCUACCAAGGCGGCGACGGGUAGCCGGCCUGAGAGGGUGGACGGCCACAUUGGGACUGAGAUACGGCCCAGACUCCUACGGGAGGCAGCAGUGGGGAAUAGUGCACAAUGGGCGGAAGCCUGAUGCAGCGACGCCGCGUGGGGGAUGACGGCCUUCGGGUUGUAAACUCCUUUCGACCGCGAGGAAGCCACCUGGUUGGAAGGGUGGUGACGGUAGUGGUAGAAGAAGCACCGGCUAACUACGUG